This 208-nucleotide ribosomal RNA is filed under the name uncultured prokaryote. RNAcentral describes it as "partial 16S ribosomal RNA". It matches the Rfam family "Bacterial small subunit ribosomal RNA", at positions 525 to 731 of the family's 1533-position model. The record is from RNAcentral.
ACGAAGGGGGCUAGCGUUGUUCGGAAUUACUGGGCGUAAAGCGCACGCAGGCGGAUUGAUAAGUCAGGGGUGAAAUCCCGAGGCUCAACCUCGGAAUUGCCUUUGAUACUGUCUAUCUUCGAGUUCGGGAGAGGUUGGCGGAAUUCCUAGUGUAGAGGUGAAAUUCGUAGAUAUUAGGAAGAACACCAGUGGCGAAGGCGGCCAACUG